GGCGGCGUGCUUAACACAUGCAAGUCGAACGGAUUUUACAUGAAGCCUAGCGAUUGUAAAAUUAGUGGCGGACGGGUGAGUAACGCGUGGGUAACCUGCCGUAUGCUGGGGGACAACAGUUAGAAAUGACUGCUAAUACCGCAUAAGCGCACAGAGUCGCAUGACUCAGUGUGAAAAACUGAGGUGGCAUACGAUGGACCCGCGUCUGAUUAGCUAGUUGGUGAGGUAACGGCUCACCAAGGCGACGAUCAGUAGCCGGCCUGAGAGGGUGAACGGCCACAUUGGGACUGAGACACGGCCCAAACUCCUACGGGAGGCAGCAGUGGGGAAUAUUGCACAAUGGGCGCAAGCCUGAUGCAGCAACGCCGCGUGAGUGAAGAAGUAUUUCGGUAUGUAAAGCUCUAUCAGCAGGGAAGAAGGACCCUUCGGGGAGAUGACGGUACCUGACUAAGAAGCCCCGGCUAACUACGUGCCAGCAGCCGCGGUAAUACGUAGGGGGCAAGCGUUAUCCGGAUUUACUGGGUGUAAAGGGAGCGCAGACGGCAGUGCAAGUCUGAUGUGAAAGCCCGGGGCUCAACCCCGGAACUGCAUUGGAAACUGUACAGCUUGAGUGUCGGAGAGGUAAGCGGAAUUCCUAGUGUAGCGGUGAAAUGCGUAGAUAUUAGGAGGAACACCGGUGGCGAAGGCGGCUUACUGGACGAUAACUGACGUUGAGGCUCGAAAGCGUGGGGAGCAAACAGGAUUAGAUACCCUGGUAGUCCACGCUGUAAACGAUGAAUACUAGGUGUGGGUGCGCAGAGCGCAUCCGUGCCGCAGCUAACGCAAUAAGUAUUCCACCUGGGGAGUACGUUCGCAAGAAUGAAACUCAAAGGAAUUGACGGGGGCCCGCACAAGCAGUGGAUUAUGUGGUUUAAUUCGACGCAACGCGAAGAACCUUACCAGGACUUGACAUCCAACUAACGAAGUAGAGAUACAUUAGGUGCCCUUCGGGGAAAGUUGAGACAGGUGGUGCAUGGUUGUCGUCAGCUCGUGUCGUGAGAUGUUGGGUUAAGUCCCGCAACGAGCGCAACCCCUAUUGUUAGUUGCUACGCAAGAGCACUCUAGCGAGACUGCCGUUGACAAAACGGAGGAAGGCGGGGACGACGUCAAAUCAUCAUGCCCCUUAUGUCCUGGGCUACACACGUAAUACAAUGGCCGUCAACAAAGGGAAGCAAAGCCGCGAGGCGGAGCAAAUCCCCAAAAACGGUCUCAGUUCGGAUUGCAGGCUGCAACUCGCCUGCAUGAAGCUGGAAUUGCUAGUAAUCGUGGAUCAGCAAGCCACGGUGAAUACGUUCCCGGGCCUUG
Molecule: ribosomal RNA, 1344 nt
Filed under: uncultured bacterium
Lineage: Bacteria
Description: bacterial SSU rRNA
Rfam family: Bacterial small subunit ribosomal RNA
Source: RNAcentral